GCCAUCAUUUAUAGAAAGCGUAAUAGCUCACUGGUCGAGUCGGCUGCGCGGAAGAUGUAACGGGGCUAAACCAUGCACCGAAGCUGCGGCAGCGACACGAAUGUGUUGUUGGGUAGGGGAGCGUUCUGUAAGCCGGUGAAGGUGAACUGUGAGGUUUGCUGGAGGUAUCAGAAGUGCGAAUGCUGACAUAAGUAACGAUAAAGCGGGUGAAAAACCCGCUCGCCGGAAGACCAAGGGUUCCUGUCCAACGUUAAUCGGGGCAGGGUGAGUCGACCCCUAAGGCGAGGCUGAAAAGCGUAGUCGAUGGGAAACAGGUUAAUAUUCCUGUACUGGCCAUAAUUGCGAUGGGGGGACGGAGAAGGCUAGGCAAGCCGGGCGACGGUCGUCCCGGUUUAAGUGUGUAGGUGGGAUAACUUGGCAAAUCCGGUUAUCCAGGACACUGAGGCACGAUGACGAGGCAUUACGGUGCUGAAGUUGCUGAUGCCCCGCUUCCAGGAAAAGCCCCUAAGCGUCAGAUUAUGGUCAAUCGUACCCCAAACCGACACAGGUGGUCAGGUAGAGAAUACUCAGGCGCUUGAGAGAACUCGGGUGAAGGAACUAGGCAAAAUGGUGCCGUAACUUCGGGAGAAGGCACGCUGGCGUUAGGUGAAGAAACACGCUUUCGGAGCCGAGGCCAGUCGCAGAUACCAGCUGGCUGCAACUGUUUAAUAAAAACACAGCACUGUGCAAACACGAAAGUGGACGUAUACGGUGUGACGCCUGCCCGGUGCUGGAAGGUUAAUUGAUGGGGUUAGCCGCAAGGCGACGCUCUUGAUCGAAGCCCCAGUAAACGGCGGC
Molecule: ribosomal RNA, 837 nt
Filed under: Xenorhabdus ehlersii
Lineage: Bacteria; Pseudomonadati; Pseudomonadota; Gammaproteobacteria; Enterobacterales; Morganellaceae
Description: bacterial LSU rRNA
Rfam family: Bacterial large subunit ribosomal RNA
Source: RNAcentral